Molecule: non-coding RNA, 65 nt
Organism: Cordylochernes scorpioides
Lineage: Eukaryota; Metazoa; Arthropoda; Arachnida; Pseudoscorpiones; Chernetidae
Source: the annotation of a GenBank genome assembly
UGCAUCGGCCGGGAAUCGAACCGCCCGCGUGGCAGGCGAGCAUUCUACCACUGAACCACCUAUGC